This 425-nucleotide ribosomal RNA is filed under the name uncultured bacterium. Its description in RNAcentral is "bacterial SSU rRNA". It matches the Rfam family "Bacterial small subunit ribosomal RNA", at positions 359 to 776 of the family's 1533-position model. The record is from RNAcentral.
GAAUUUUGGACAAUGGGGGCAACCCUGAUCCAGCCAUGCCGCGGGUGUGAAGAAGGCCUUCGGGUUGUAAAGCACUUUCGGACGGAACGAAAUCGCGCGAUCUAAUAAGUCGCGUGGAUGACGGUACCGUAAGAAGAAGCCCCGGCUCACUACGUGCCAGCCGCCGCGGUAAUACGUAGGGUGCGAGCGUGAAUCGGAAUUACUGGGGGUAAAGUGUGCGCAGGUGGCUGAGCAAGUCGAGUGUGAAAUCCCCGGGCUUAACUUGGGAAUUGCGCUCGAAACUACUUGGCUCGAGUGUGGCAGAGGAAGGUGGAAUUCCAGGUGUAGCGGUGAAAUGCGUAGAGAUCUGGAGGAACACCGAUGGCGAAGGCAGCCUUCUGGGCCAACACUGACGCUCAUGCACGAAAGCGUGGGGAGCAAACAGG